UACGUAGGUGACAAGCGUUGUCCGGAUUUACUGGGCGUAAAGAGCGCGCAGGCGGUCGUUCAAGUCGAGUGUGAAAGCCCCCGGCUCAACUGGGGAGGGUCACUCGAUACUGAUCGACUUGAAGGCAGGAGAGGGAAGCGGAAUUCCCGGUGUAGUGGUGAAAUUCGUAGAUAUUCGGAAGAACACCAGUGGCGAAGGCGACUUACUGGACACAUAUUGACGCUGAGGUGCGAAAGCGUGGGGAGCAAACAGG
Molecule: ribosomal RNA, 253 nt
Filed under: uncultured bacterium
Lineage: Bacteria
Description: partial 16S ribosomal RNA
Rfam family: Bacterial small subunit ribosomal RNA
Source: RNAcentral